UCCAACAAUAAUUUAUACAAAUUAAUUAUGGUUGGGUCGGUUAGACGGACUCAAGAGUAUAGUUUUAAAAAUCCGUUGUCUGAACCAAUUAACAUCGUGCUUCAUCGAUUUGGUUCAAUUUUUGUCCGAACUAGAAAAAUGUCCAACUCAAACAAUUUGAUUUAGUUUGAAUUUUGAUUUGAUUUGAUUUUAUCCGAACCAAUAAACACCCUUAUAUUUAAAUGAAUGGAAAACAUUGAUUAAGUGUCAAGCUUUUCUUAUAAUAGGAGCUCUCGGUGGAGGCAUGAAAAACACACAAGAAAUUGAUCAAUGUUAAAGAAGAUGAAAGGAUGGAAUAGUGAGCAUUUUUAUGAUUAAAACACACAUAGUGUUAAAGAUGAAGAGAGAGCUCAAUGUUGAUAUUGAAGAUACAAGAAUGAUGAAGAUCAAUGUAUUCACAAUAAUGAAUUUUAAAAAUAAGAAUAUUUUCAACGAAGGUUAAGAAAAAUAAUAGCUUCAUUAAAAGGGAAAAAAUAAGCAACUAAAAACUAAUUAAUUUUAGGUGAAUCGUAAUUAAAUUGUAACAACAUGAAAAAGAAAAUGGAAUAAACCAAAAUAUUCUAUUAAAUAUAAUUGUUAAUACUCUUUUAUUUUUGUAAAAGUUUGGUAUUGAAAUAGAAAAAACUUACCAAACACAAAUUUCUCUAUAUCACAAGAAAAACUAUAAUUCAAAAAGCCAUGAAUAAGUAUGAUAAAUUAAAAAAGAUAAACUAAAUAAUAGGUUAUUAUCUUCUAUCAUGUUUGAAUCUAUUACCAUCAUCUUAUAAUAUAAAUCCAUAACUACAAUAUUUAUUAGGUGCCAAAACACAAACUAAAUCAUAAGCUCAUGAGAUAUUCUAGUUAAGAGCUUGUUUUCUCAAUCCUAAUUCCCAAGCACUAGACACUUACACCUCUUGUCAAUACAAUAUUCUUUAAAAGGAGGCUUGCACAUAUCAUAUGGACAAUCAGAAUGUAUCAGACAAUAUUUACUCCAAUUAUCAUUCCAAUAUUGUUUAAAUAGUAUAUGAGCAUCAAUAGUUAUUACAAAAAGAAAUAGAGAAAGAAAGAUAACUCUAACAAAAAUAAAUUUGAUAAUUUCAAUCAUACUUUCCUUUUCAAAUGCAUGAAUAAAAUCAACUAUGUUUUCUAUCACUUUAUAAUAAUUUAAGCACCUAUGGAGUUGUAAAAACUAUUAUUGAAUUAUUAUUACUAUUAUUAUUAUUAAAUUUAUCUUUAAAAUGUCAUUAUUGUGUUUGGUCCUUCAAGAUAUUUAGUAUCCAGUAAAAUAAAAAACUUAUCAAUUACAAGAAUUCAUAGUUUUUAAUAAAUAUUUUAUCAUCAUUUUAUAACUUUUCAUGAUAGUAGAGAUAUUAGAGCUAAUGUAUAUGUUAGAUUUCAAUUCAUCAAUAAUAUCUCAUAAGAACAUCUCAUGAGAACGUGAAAAACUCAAAUUAAUAAUGGUGUAGUUUAGAAUUGAUGGAAAGUCAUAUUAAUAACAAUCUAAAUUUAAACAUAUAAUCAGAGAAGUUAUCUAGCAUAUCAAUCUAUAAGACGGGUUUUCUAAAUUAUCAAAGAAGCAUUAUUAUUUUCGUAUUUAGUUAGAUAAUAUGCAUAAUAUUUGAAGGAUUACAUUAUGAAAAGAUAAGAAAAUUUUCCUAAAACAACGAAGCAAUAUAAAAUAAGAGAGAUUAACGCAAACAAUGGUUAAGAUUUAGUUAGAAACAUGCUCUUACUUUUUGUAAUUGAAAAUAAAUUUUGAAUGAUUAAGUGUUGGAGUAUAUAAAAUAAUAUUUUAUAUUAUUUUAACAAAAUUUAUUUUCUUAAAACAAAAUUACCAAACAGGAGGUAGAUAAAAGUAUAUAAAACAGAUAACAAAAUUAUAAAGUAAAGUAAAUGAGAAAGUAAAUGAGAGGAUGAGUCGUUGAGUAAGGAAAAAUAGGACGAUCAUCCUAUUUGUUUGACGGAUUAAAUUGUGAUUUUGAGAAUGUCAUUUUUUAAAACAUUAAUGUUGGGAAUUUUAUUUACAUCCACUUGUUUGAUAAGUUAUUAAAAUUUUUAAGAAUAUUUUUAAAUUUUAUUUUAUUUAUAAUUUUAUUUUUAAAAAUAAAAAAAUAUAAAAAAUGUUUUAAAAUAAUGUAAAAAUAGAUAGUUAUAGUUGAUUCUUUUCUAUUCUUAAAAAAUAAAGAUCUUCAUCAUUUAAUAUGAGAAUAAAUAUCUAAAUUUUAUGAAUAAAUUAUAUUCUUAGAAAUAAAAAAACCAGAACAUAAAUCUUCAAAACUAAAAGCAAACAUGAGAACGUAGGAUUGUCUACCUAACAUUCUUAUAAAAU
This 2347-nucleotide long non-coding RNA is filed under the name Lathyrus oleraceus (garden pea). RNAcentral describes it as "Pisum sativum (pea) long non-coding RNA (PSAT_LNC019893)". The record is from RNAcentral. Lineage: Eukaryota; Viridiplantae; Streptophyta; Magnoliopsida; Fabales; Fabaceae.